GAUGAAGAACGUAGUGAAAUGCGAUACGUAAUGUGAAUUGCAGAAUUCAGUGAAUCAUCGAAUCUUUGAACGCAUAUUGCGCUCUCUGGUAUUCCGGAGAGCAUGCUUGUUUGAGUAUCAGUAAACACCUCAACUUCCAUAUCUUUUUUGAAAUGGGAGUUGGACUUGAGUGAUCCCAACGCUUUUCCUCACCGAAAAGUGGCGGGUUACUUGAAAUGCAGGUGCAGCUGGACUUUUCUCUGAGCGAUAAGCAUAUCUAUUUAGUCUGCCUAAAAACAGAUUAUUACCUUUGCUGCAGCUAACAUAAAGGAGAUUAGUUCUUGUGCUGACUGAUGCAGGAUUCACAAAGACAGGCUUCGGCCGACUUUGUAAACUCGAUCUCAAAUCAAGUAAGACUACCCGCUGAACUUAAGCAUAUCAAUAAGCGGAGGA
This 432-nucleotide unclassified non-coding RNA is filed under the name soil metagenome. RNAcentral's name for it is "partial contains 5.8S ribosomal RNA, internal transcribed spacer 2, and large subunit ribosomal RNA". The stretch from base 1 to 120 matches the Rfam family "5.8S ribosomal RNA", at positions 35 to 154 of the family's 154-position model. The record is from RNAcentral.